GGAGCAGCAACGAUGUUACGCAGCAGGGCAGUCGCCCUAAAACAAAGUUAGGCCCGCACGGAAUCAACAUCUCAUG
Non-coding RNA from Kluyvera intermedia, 76 nucleotides. The record is from Rfam. Lineage: Bacteria; Pseudomonadati; Pseudomonadota; Gammaproteobacteria; Enterobacterales; Enterobacteriaceae.